GACGAACGCUGGCGGCGUGCUUAACACAUGCGAGUCGAACGGAAAGGCCCUGCUUUUGUGGGGUGCUCGAGUGGCGAACGGGUGAGUAACACGUGAGUAACCUGCCCUUGACUUUGGGAUAACUUCAGGAAACUGGGGCUAAUACCGGAUAGGAGCUCCUGCUGCAUGGUGGGGGUUGGAAAGAUUCGGCGGUUGGGGAUGGACUCGCGGCUUAUCAGCUUGUUGGUGGGGUAGUGGCUUACCAAGGCUUUGACGGGUAGCCGGCCUGAGAGGGUGACCGGCCACAUUGGGACUGAGAUACGGCCCAGACUCCUACGGGAGGCAGCAGUGGGGAAUAUUGCACAAUGGGCGGAAGCCUGAUGCAGCAACGCCGCGUGCGGGAUGACGGCCUUCGGGUUGUAAACCGCUUUCGCCUGUGACGAAGCGUGAGUGACGGUAAUGGGUAAAGAAGCACCGGCUAACUACGUG
Molecule: ribosomal RNA, 468 nt
Filed under: uncultured bacterium
Lineage: Bacteria
Description: partial 16S ribosomal RNA
Rfam family: Bacterial small subunit ribosomal RNA
Source: RNAcentral